GAAUUCGCCCUUAGAGUUUGAUCCUGGCUCAGGAUGAACGCUGGCGGCGUGCUUAACACAUGCAAGUCGAGCGGAGAUAAAUUGAAAGCUUGCUUUUAAUUUAUCUUAGCGGCGGACGGGUGAGUAACGUGUGGGCAACCUGCCUCAUACAGAGGGAUAAUCAUGUGAAAACGUGACUAAUACCGCAUGUCGUUUCGGGAGGGCAUCCUCCUGAAAGAAAAGGAGCAAUCCGGUAUGAGAUGGGCCCGCAUCUGAUUAGCUAGUUGGUGAGAUAACAGCCCACCAAGGCGACGAUCAGUAGCCGACCUGAGAGGGUGAUCGGCCACAUUGGGACUGAGACACGGCCCAAACUCCUACGGGAGGCAGCAGUGGGGAAUAUUGCACAAUGGGGGAAACCCUGAUGCAGCAACGCCGCGUGAAGGAAGACGGUUUUCGGAUUGUAAACUCCUGUUGUUGAGGAAGAUAAUGACGGUACUCAACAAGGAAGUGACGGCUAACUACGUGCCAGCAGCCGCGGUAAAACGUAGGUCACAAGCGUUGUCCGGAAUUACUGGGUGUAAAGGGAGCGCAGGCGGGAAGACAAGUUGGAAGUGAAAUCCAUGGGCUCAACCCAUGAACUGCUUUCAAAACUGUUUUUCUUGAGUAGUGCAGAGGUAGGCGGAAUUCCCGGUGUAGCGGUGGAAUGCGUAGAUAUCGGGAGGAACACCAGUGGCGAAGGCGGCCUACUGGGCACCAACUGACGCUGAGGCUCGAAAGUGUGGGUAGCAAACAGGAUUAGAUACCCUGGUAGUCCACACUGUAAACGAUGAUUACUAGGUGUUGGAGGAUUGACCCCUUCAGUGCCGCAGUUAACACAAUAAGUAAUCCACCUGGGGAGUACGACCGCAAGGUUGAAACUCAAAGGAAUUGACGGGGGCCCGCACAAGCAGUGGAGUAUGUGGUUUAAUUUGACGCAACGCGAAGAACCUUACCAAGUCUUGACAUCCUGCGACGGACAUAGAAAUAUGUUUUUCCUUCGGGACGCAGAGACAGGUGGUGCAUGGUUGUCGUCAGCUCGUGUCGUGAGAUGUUGGGUUAAGUCCCGCAACGAGCGCAACCCUUAUGGUCAGUUACUACGCAAGAGGACUCUGGCCAGACUGCCGUUGACAAAACGGAGGAAGGUGGGGAUGACGUCAAAUCAUCAUGCCCUUUAUGACUUGGGCUACACACGUACUACAAUGGCGUUAAACAAAGAGAAGCAAGACCGCGAGGUGGAGCAAAACUCAGAAACAACGUCCCAGUUCGGACUGCAGGCUGCAACUCGCCUGCACGAAGUCGGAAUUGCUAGUAAUCGCAGAUCAGCAUGCUGCGGUGAAUACGUUCCCGGGCCUUGCACACACCGCCCGUCA
This 1388-nucleotide ribosomal RNA is filed under the name uncultured bacterium. RNAcentral's name for it is "bacterial SSU rRNA". It matches the Rfam family "Bacterial small subunit ribosomal RNA". The record is from RNAcentral.